Molecule: ribosomal RNA, 253 nt
Filed under: uncultured bacterium
Lineage: Bacteria
Description: partial 16S ribosomal RNA
Rfam family: Bacterial small subunit ribosomal RNA
Source: RNAcentral
GACAGAGGGUGCAAGCGUUGUUCGGAAUUAUUGGGCGUAAAGGGCGCGUAGGCGGCUGAGCAAGUCGAAUGUGAAAUCCCUGGGCUUAACCCAGGAAGUGCAUUUGAUACUGCUCAACUUGAGUCCCGGAGAGGGUGGUGGAAUUCCCAGUGUAGAGGUGAAAUUCGUAGAUAUUGGGAGGAACACCGGUGGCGAAGGCGGCUCUCUGGACCGAUACUGACGCUGAGGCGCGAAAGCGUGGGGAGCAAACAGG